This 274-nucleotide ribosomal RNA is filed under the name uncultured bacterium. RNAcentral's name for it is "partial 16S ribosomal RNA". It matches the Rfam family "Bacterial small subunit ribosomal RNA", at positions 523 to 796 of the family's 1533-position model. The record is from RNAcentral.
AUACGGAGGGUGCAAGCGUUACUCGGAAUCACGGGGCGUAAAGCGCGCGCAGGCGGCCAUUUAAGUUGGAUGUGAAAGCCUACGGCUCAACCGUAGAACUGCAUCCAAAACUAUUUGGCUAGAGUGUGGUAGAGGAAGAUGGAAUUAGUUGUGUAGGGGUAAAAUCCGUAGAGAUAACUAGGAAUACCAAAAGCGAAGGCAAUCUUCUGGAACAUUACUGACGCUGAGGCGCGAAAGCGUGGGGAGCAAACAGGAUUAGAAACCCCUGUAGUCC